RNAcentral lists this ribosomal RNA (387 nucleotides) under uncultured bacterium. RNAcentral's name for it is "bacterial SSU rRNA". It matches the Rfam family "Bacterial small subunit ribosomal RNA", at positions 28 to 417 of the family's 1533-position model. The record is from RNAcentral.
AACGAACGCUGGCGGCAGGCUUAACACAUGCAAGUCGAGCGGUAAGGCCCUUUCGGGGGUACACGAGCGGCGAACGGGUGAGUAACACGUGGGUGACCUGCCCUCAGCUCUGGGAUAAGCCUGGGAAACCGGGUCUAAUACCGGAUAUGACUCCAUGACGCAUGUUGUGGGGUGGAAAGCCUUGUGCGGCUGAGGAUGGGCCCGCGGCCUAUCAGCUUGUUGGUGGGGUGAGGCCUACCAAGGCGACGACGGGUAGCCGGCCUGAGAGGGCGACCGGCCACACUGGGACUGAGACACGGCCCAGACUCCUACGGGAGGCAGCAGUGGGGAAUCUUGCGCAAUGGGCGAAAGCCUGACGCAGCGACGCCGCGUGAGGGAUGACGGCCU